This 433-nucleotide ribosomal RNA is filed under the name uncultured bacterium. Its description in RNAcentral is "partial 16S ribosomal RNA". It matches the Rfam family "Bacterial small subunit ribosomal RNA", at positions 29 to 507 of the family's 1533-position model. The record is from RNAcentral.
AACGAACGCUGGCGGCAUGCCUAACACAUGCAAGUCGAACGAGACCUUCGGGCCUAGUGGCGCACGGGUGCGUAACGCGUGGGAACCUGCCCUUAGGUUCGGAAUAACUCCCCGAAAGGGGUGCUAAUACCGGAUAAUGUCUUCGGACCAAAGAUUUAUCGCCUUUGGAUGGGCCCGCGUUGGAUUAGCUAGUUGGUAGGGUAAAAGCCUACCAAGGCGACGAUCCAUAGCUGGUCUGAGAGGAUGAUCAGCCACACUGGGACUGAGACACGGCCCAGACUCCUACGGGAGGCAGCAGUGGGGAAUAUUGGACAAUGGGCGAAAGCCUGAUCCAGCAAUGCCGCGCGAGUGAUGAAGGCCUUAGGGUUGUAAAGCUCUUUUACCCGGGAUGAUAAUGACAGUACCGGGAGAAUAAGCUCCGGCUAACUCCGUG